UAUGACCACUGAUCGGGUGG
RNAcentral lists this unclassified non-coding RNA (20 nucleotides) under Chlamydomonas reinhardtii. RNAcentral's name for it is "small RNA Cre_2380". Lineage: Eukaryota; Viridiplantae; Chlorophyta; Chlorophyceae; Chlamydomonadales; Chlamydomonadaceae. The record is from RNAcentral.